GAUGAACGCUGGCGGCGUGCUUAACACAUGCAAGUCGAACGGACUUAUAUUGAAACCUAGUGAUGUAUGAGUUAGUGGCGGACGGGUGAGUAACGCGUGGAAAACCUGCCGUAUACUGGGGGAUAACACUUAGAAAUAGGUGCUAAUACCGCAUAAGCGCACAGCUUCGCAUGAAGCAGUGUGAAAAACUCUGGUGGUAUACGAUGGUUCCGCGUCUGAUUAGCUUGUUGGCGGGGUAAAGGCCCACCAAGGCGACGAUCAGUAGCCGGCCUGAGAGGGUGAACGGCCACAUUGGGACUGAGACACGGCCCAAACUCCUACGGGAGGCUG
RNAcentral lists this ribosomal RNA (330 nucleotides) under uncultured Bacillota bacterium. Its description in RNAcentral is "bacterial SSU rRNA". It matches the Rfam family "Bacterial small subunit ribosomal RNA", at positions 28 to 351 of the family's 1533-position model. The record is from RNAcentral. Lineage: Bacteria; Bacillati; Bacillota.